Molecule: ribosomal RNA, 253 nt
Filed under: uncultured bacterium
Lineage: Bacteria
Description: partial 16S ribosomal RNA
Rfam family: Bacterial small subunit ribosomal RNA
Source: RNAcentral
UACAGAGGUCUCAAGCGUUGUUCGGAUUCAUUGGGCGUAAAGGGUGCGUAGGCGGCGCGGUAAGUCGGGUGUGAAAUCUCGGGGCUUAACUCCGAAACUGCAUUCGAUACUGCCGUGCUUGAGGACUGGAGAGGAGACUGGAAUUCCCGGUGUAGCGGUGAAAUGCGCAGAUAUCGGGAGGAACACCAAUGGCGAAGGCAGCUCGCUGGGACGUUACUGACGCUGAGACGCGAAAGCGUGGGGAGCAAACAGG